GACGAACGCUGGCGGCGUGCUUAACACAUGCAAGUCGAACGGAAAGGCCCUGCUUUUGUGGGGUGCUCGAGUGGCGAACGGGUGAGUAACACGUGAGUAACCUGCCCUUGACUUUGGGAUAACUUCAGGAAACUGGGGCUAAUACCGGAUAGGAGCUCCUGCUGCAUGGUGGGGGUUGGAAAGUUUCGGCGGUUGGGGAUGGACUCGCGGCUUAUCAGCUUGUUGGUGGGGUAGUGGCUUACCAAGGCUUUGACGGGUAGCCGGCCUGAGAGGGUGACCGGCCACAUUGGGACUGAGAUACGGCCCGGACUCCUACGGGAGGCAGCAGUGGGGAAUAUAGCACAAUGGGCGGAAGCCUGAUGCAGCAACGCCGCGUGCGGGAUGACGGCCUUCGGGUUGUAAACCGCUUUCGCCUGUGACGAAGCGUGAGUGACGGUAAUGGGUAAAGAAGCACCGGCUAACUACGUG
RNAcentral lists this ribosomal RNA (468 nucleotides) under uncultured bacterium. RNAcentral describes it as "partial 16S ribosomal RNA". It matches the Rfam family "Bacterial small subunit ribosomal RNA", at positions 28 to 507 of the family's 1533-position model. The record is from RNAcentral.